UAUCUAAUUGAAGCCUGCAGGAGCUAAUUACUACCAUGCUAAAUGAAGAGGCUCAGAUGUUAAAGUGAGGGAUGGAAAAAUCUGCUCUCCUCUUGGGAAGUUAUUUCAGCUGUUAAUUGACGUUACAGGUGACAGGCUAAGAAUGCUGCUGCCAGAAAGCCAAGAGGAGAGCAACAGUGCCAGGACCAGCAUUGCUUCUGCUUCCUAUGACCUCAACAGAGGUGCUUGAAACUCAGCACUGCAUGUCCUUUCCUGAUUUUGGGACUUUGCAUGACCAGACACUUGGCUGCCAUCUCACAUGAAAUCACAGUAGAAGAGGGGUUUUGAAGCUGUGGCUGAGACAAGGAGAGAAAGCAAAGCAGAGCCCCAUUUCAAAGGAAGCCCUGAAGGAGAUUUGCAAGGUUUCUCCAAAUUGAAAUCAUGUGAAAUCACAUCUGUGGGUGAAACAGUGAAUACAAGACAAUCCUAAUAAAAAAGGGACUAUUAGCUUAGUUCUAGAGAAA
This 503-nucleotide long non-coding RNA is filed under the name Phasianus colchicus (ring-necked pheasant). RNAcentral's name for it is "lncRNA (ENSPCLG00000019957.1)". The record is from RNAcentral. Lineage: Eukaryota; Metazoa; Chordata; Aves; Galliformes; Phasianidae.